AUGAAUUAACUUCAUCCACUGUAAACUCCACAGAUGGCAAACCUUGAUCGAAUGAAAUUGGACACAGCUGCAGAAAUGAUUUGUCCUCGACAGAAUGCUGUCCAGUAAACAGUGACGAGUAUGAUUGUUUGGGUUGAUUUCCAAUUUGGUUUUCUGAGUAGGUUUUGGAAGCCUCUCCCACAGCACAAGGCUGGGGAGAGGUCAACACUUCCAUUAAGUCGAUCAAGAUUCAAACAGAAAUUCCCUCCAUGAAAUCAAAAUGAAAUGAAAUGGGAAUAUUACUGUAGGUCGAAACUAAGAUCCAUGAUUUAGAAAAAAUGGAUAUAGAUAUGAGGAUAAAAAAAGGAUAGGAUUGUUCGCAAGAAGAAAUGAAAUGGGAAAAUUACUGUAGGUCGAAACUAAGAUCCAUGAUUUAGAAAAAA
This 422-nucleotide long non-coding RNA is filed under the name Nicotiana benthamiana. RNAcentral's name for it is "long non-coding RNA (NBEN_LNC030580)". The record is from RNAcentral. Lineage: Eukaryota; Viridiplantae; Streptophyta; Magnoliopsida; Solanales; Solanaceae.